UACCUGCAGCUCGAGUGGUAACCGCUAUUAUUGGGCCUAAAGCGUCCGCAGCCGGUUUGGUAAAUAUCUGGGUAAAUCGUGAGGCUUAACUUCACGAAUUUCGGAUAGACUGCCAGACUUGGGAUCGGGGGAGGUCAGAGGUACUCCAGGGGUAGCGGUGAAAUGUUGUAAUCCUUGGAGGACCACCGGUAGCGAAGGCGUCUGACUAGAACGAGUCCGACGGUGAGGGACGAAGCCCUGGGGCGCAAACCGGAUUAGAUACCCGGGUAGUCCAGGGUGUAAACUAUGUGGGCUUUGUAUUGGAGGUCCCACGUGGGCGUCCAGUGCAGAAGAGAAGUUGUUAAGCCCACCGCCUGGGAAGUACGGUCGCAAGGCUGAAACUUAAAGGAAUUGGCGGGGGAGCACAGCAACGGGAGGAGCGUGCGGUUU
This 429-nucleotide ribosomal RNA is filed under the name uncultured archaeon. RNAcentral's name for it is "bacterial SSU rRNA". It matches the Rfam family "Archaeal small subunit ribosomal RNA", at positions 474 to 903 of the family's 1478-position model. The record is from RNAcentral.